RNAcentral lists this long non-coding RNA (2047 nucleotides) under Musa acuminata (dwarf banana). RNAcentral's name for it is "long non-coding RNA (MACU_LNC008660)". The record is from RNAcentral. Lineage: Eukaryota; Viridiplantae; Streptophyta; Magnoliopsida; Zingiberales; Musaceae.
GGUGUACGAAAAUGACAAUGCUCAAGGGCGAUAUCUCUGCAGUUCCAAUGUCCUUGAUAAUCAUGAAGUAGCUGCCCUGCUUGCAAACCGCUAUCCUUCAUUGCCCAUCCCAAAUAGGUUAGUUCUAUUUAUGGUAUCAUAUUGUAUAUAUCAUUGUAAAUUACAAGCUAAGGUUCUAGAGGCUGAAGUUUCCUUGUUAUGAAACUAGAAUCUCGCAAAAUUUGGAAAAGAAUGAUGUGUCUAAGAAUACACAAAACUUUAAGAACAAUUUGAGACACUUAUUUGUAUGCAAGUAAAAUCUUUCAGAAUAUAAGGGAUUUAAGAAACAACUGAAGAACCAUGAACUGAUGUCUAUAACCUACUUUUUGAUGAUUUAUUUGAAAAAUAAAAUAAAAGAAGCAAACAAUUUAACAUCUAUGAUUUAUUCUUUGACUAUUGUCUUCGUGUAAAUAUAUAAAUUCUUACUAGGUAAUCUUUCCUUUGCAUUAUAAGAAGUUGACUUGUGUUCAGGUUCCACAAUUACCAUGCUGAGAUACCACGUUACCAGUUUGACACAUCCAAACUACGUGACUUGGGGUUUAAAUUCAAGGGUACUGAAGAGAUGUUUGAUGAUUGCAUUGCAUCGCUGAGGACACAAGGCUAUCAGAUCUAAUGAUUUAAGUACCUUCUCGAUUUGCCAACAUUACUUACUAGAUAAUAAAAGCUUUAAACAAGUCGUAUGAACCAUUUUAAUAAAUCUCUGUGUCAAGAACUUUUAAGUACAGGACAUGCUAUGGGCGCCAAUAUAUCAUUCUCUUAUAUUAAUAAACUACAUUACUUUGGCUUGCUUCUUGUUACAUUCAAUUAAAUAUUACAAGAAAGUAUCACUAGUAAGCAUGGGUAUAAUUCUAGAAGAGCUGAGAGUGUUCUACUUGAUCUCACAAGGGACAAGAUGCAGUGCAACAUUUGACAUGCAUAGCACGCUGAUCUGUUCUGUGUUGGUUUGUGCAUCGUCAUUUUGCCUAAAUUGUACAUUCAGAUUAUUUCAUAUUUGAUAAUGGGGUUUAACGUCAUUAGGAACACUGUGAUGAUGUAGCUAUUGUAUAAUUCGGAACAACCAUUUCCUUUCUGCAAAGACACAGAAACUAUUUGUGUAGCUCACGUAAUUGUCUUAUGGUGCAUCUGUGCACAGAGGCCUAUAAUAUGGUGCAUCUAUGACAUUUACCUAGACAGUAAUAUGCUAAACUAAUGACUAUUUUCUUGAACACCUUUCCAACUUAAUGAAGAACAAGAAAAUGCUUGAGAAUUUUAUAACUUUGAAAGAACAUAGCAUGAGCAACUCAGUUAUUACUUGUUUAUCAAAUUCAAGAUAGUAAUCAAUACAUAAGGUGAUGUAAAGAAUGAUCCAAGAUUAGAUCCAAAACACAGAAAUCAUGAGAAAUAAUUUUACUAGUUUGUCAGAGAACUUCAAUCAGGUAUAUAUCUGACACAAUCAGCCUCAUGACAUCCAUAACCACAGCCUUAUCAGAAUUCUGAUCAAAAUUAACUAGAACCUUUGAUAAUUGCUCAUACGAGAUGCAUCGGUUUACUUAAAAACAAUAUUUUUAUCACGAGCACAAAAGAAAAAAGAAAAAUGCAAACAUACUACAUUAUCAGUGAUAGGGAACAAAUUGGAGGAUGCCCAAUGAACAACGAGAAAAAACAGAAAACAGUAUGUACCAAUUACCCAAGGAAGAGAUCAAAAUGGUUCUUACGAGUUCUUUUUCCUGACGAUGGCCUUCAGAACCAUUGGCGAGAAUGGUCCUGUCUUGUCCAAAUGCACUCCAACAGCUUUUUCCAUCAAGAACAAAACAUCUCCCUCCUGCAGCCUCUUGACAACAUUCUAAGCUUCCUUCACCCCCUUCUUUUUACAUAAUCCAUCGACCAAACUGAUAGAAAUUAAGCGAAGAAGAUAGAAAGAUAGAAAUUAUAGAAGAAACUAUGAAAUGUAUAAGAUAUAAUUGCCUAAUACAUUUUGAUAGUGAGUUCUUGACAGUCAUUUAUACACACUCAGUAGGGAGGUUAUACA